This 253-nucleotide ribosomal RNA is filed under the name uncultured prokaryote. Its description in RNAcentral is "partial 16S ribosomal RNA". It matches the Rfam family "Bacterial small subunit ribosomal RNA", at positions 524 to 776 of the family's 1533-position model. The record is from RNAcentral.
UACAGAGGUCCCGAGCGUUGUUCGGAUUCACUGGGCGUAAAGGGUGCGUAGGUGGUGGGGUAAGUCGGAUGUGAAAUCUCGGAGCUCAACUCCGAAACUGCAUUGGAAACUACCCUGCUAGAGGGUCGGAGGGGGGACUGGAAUUCUUGGUGUAGCAGUGAAAUGCGUAGAUAUCAAGAGGAACACCAGUGGCGAAGGCGAGUCCCUGGACGACUCCUGACACUGAGGCACGAAAGCUAGGGGAGCAAACAGG